RNAcentral lists this ribosomal RNA (498 nucleotides) under uncultured bacterium. RNAcentral's name for it is "partial 16S ribosomal RNA". It matches the Rfam family "Bacterial small subunit ribosomal RNA", at positions 28 to 508 of the family's 1533-position model. The record is from RNAcentral.
GAUGAACGCUGGCGGCGUGCCUAAUACAUGCAAGUCGAGCGAACGGACGAGAAGCUUGCUUCUCUGAUGUUAGCGGCGGACGGGUGGGUAACACGUGGAUAACCUACCUAUAAGACUGGGAUAACUUCGGGAAACCGGAGCUAAUACCGGAUGAUAUUUUGAACCGCAUGGUUCAAAAGUGAAAGACGGUCUUGCUGUCACUUAUAGAUGGAUCCGCGCUGCAUUAGCUAGUUGGUAAGGUAACGGCUUACCAAGGCAACGAUGCAUAGCCGACCUGAGAGGGUGAUCGGCCACACUGGAACUGAGACACGGUCCAGACUCCUACGGGAGGCAGCAGUAGGGAAUCUUCCGCAAUGGGCGAAAGCCUGACGGAGCAACGCCGCGUGAGUGAUGAAGGUCUUCGGAUCGUAAAACUCUGUUAUUAGGGAAGAACAUAUGUGUAAGUAACUGUGCACAUCUUGACGGUACCUAAUCAGAAAGCCACGGCUAACUACGUGC